GACGAACGCUGGCGGCGUGCUUAACACAUGCAAGUCGAACGGAAAGGCCCUGCUUUUGUGGGGUGCUCGAGUGGCGAAGGGGUGAGUAACACGUGAGUAACCUGCCCUUGACUUUGGGAUAACUUCAGGAAACUGGGGCUAAUACCGGAUAGGAGCUCUUGCUGCAUGGUGGGGGUUGGAAAGAGACGGCGGUGGGGGAUGGACUCGCGGCUUAUCAGCUUGUUGGGGGGGUAGUGGCUUACCAAGGUUUUGACGGGUAGCCGGCCUGGGAGGGUGACCGGCCACCUUGGGACUGCGAUACGGCCCAGACUCCUACGGGAGGCAGCAGUGGGGAAUAUUGCGCAAUGGGCGGAAGCCUGAUGCAGCAACGCCGCGUGCGGGAUGACGGCCUUCGGGUUGUAAACCGCUUUCGCCUGUGACGAAGCGUGAGUGACGGUAAUGGGUAAAGAAGCACCGGCUAACUACGUG
This 468-nucleotide ribosomal RNA is filed under the name uncultured bacterium. RNAcentral's name for it is "partial 16S ribosomal RNA". It matches the Rfam family "Bacterial small subunit ribosomal RNA", at positions 28 to 507 of the family's 1533-position model. The record is from RNAcentral.